GACGAACGCUGGCGGCGUGCUUAACACAUGCAAGUCGAACGGAAAGGCCCUGCUUUUGUGGGGUGCUCGAGUGGCGAACGGGUGCGUAACACGUGAGUAACCUGCCCUUGACUUUGGGAUAACUUCAGGAAACUGGGGCUAAUACCGUAUAGGAGCUCCUGCUGCAUGGUGGGGGUUGGAACGUUUCGGCGGUUGGGGAUGGACUCGCGGCUUAUCAGCUUGUUGGUUGGGUAGUGGCUUACCAAGGCUUUGACGGGUAGCCGGCCUGAGAGGGUGAACGGCCACAUUGGGACUGAGAUACGCACCAGACUCCUACGGGAGGCAGCAGUGGGAAAUAUUGCACAAUGGGCGGAAGCCUGAUGCAGCAACGCCGCGUGCGGGAUGACGGCCUGCGGGUUGUAAACCGCUGUCGCCUGUGACGAAGCGGGAGUGACGGUAAUGGGUAAAGAAGCACCGGCUAACUACGUG
RNAcentral lists this ribosomal RNA (468 nucleotides) under uncultured bacterium. RNAcentral describes it as "partial 16S ribosomal RNA". It matches the Rfam family "Bacterial small subunit ribosomal RNA", at positions 28 to 507 of the family's 1533-position model. The record is from RNAcentral.